This 514-nucleotide ribosomal RNA is filed under the name uncultured bacterium. RNAcentral describes it as "bacterial SSU rRNA". It matches the Rfam family "Bacterial small subunit ribosomal RNA", at positions 345 to 859 of the family's 1533-position model. The record is from RNAcentral.
GAGGCAGCAUUGAGGAAUAUUGGUCAAUGGGCGCAAGCCUGAACCAGCCAUGUCGCGUGCAGGAUGACGGCCCUAUGGGUUGUAAACUGCUUUUUUACGGGAAUAAACNCNNCUACGUGUAGCGAACUGAAGGUACCGUAUGAAUAAGGAUCGGCUAACUCCGUGCCAGCAGCCGCGGUAAUACGGAGGAUUCGAGCGUUAUCCGGAUUUAUUGGGUUUAAAGGGUGCGCAGGCGGAGGAUUAAGUCAGUGGUGAAAUCUCACAGCUCAACUGUGAAACUGCCAUUGAAACUGAUUUUCUUGAAUACGGUUGAGGUAGGCGGAAUACGUUAUGUAGCGGUGAAAUGCUUAGAUAUAACGUAGAACACCGAUUGCGAAGGCAGCUUACUAAGCCGUUAUUGACGCUGAGGCACGAAAGCGUGGGGAGCGAACAGGAUUAGAUACCCUGGUAGUCCACGCCGUAAACGAUGAUUACUCGUUGUGCGCGAUACAUUGUGCGCGACUGAGCGAAAGCA